GCCGGGUGUGGUGGCGGGCGCCUGUAAUCCCAGCUACCUUGGAGGCUGAGGUGGGAGGAUCACUUGAGCCCAGGAGUUGGAGGCUUCAGUGAGCUAUGAUUAUGCCACUGCACUCCAGCCUGGGCGACAGAGUGAGACCCUGUCUGGA
Macaca fascicularis (crab-eating macaque) is the source of this 148-nucleotide unclassified non-coding RNA. It matches the Rfam family "Metazoan signal recognition particle RNA". From Rfam's summary of the family: The signal recognition particle (SRP) is a universally conserved ribonucleoprotein. It is involved in the co-translational targeting of proteins to membranes. NCBI's taxonomy places the organism in Eukaryota, Metazoa, Chordata, Mammalia, Primates, Cercopithecidae. The record is from Ensembl.